RNAcentral lists this ribosomal RNA (253 nucleotides) under uncultured bacterium. Its description in RNAcentral is "partial 16S ribosomal RNA". It matches the Rfam family "Bacterial small subunit ribosomal RNA", at positions 524 to 776 of the family's 1533-position model. The record is from RNAcentral.
UACGUAGGGUGCGAGCGCUGUCCGGAAUUAUUGGGCGUAAAGGGCUCGUAGGCGGUUUGUCGCGUCGGGAGUGAAAACCUUGGGCUUAACUCAGGGCUUGCUUUCGAUACGGGCAGACUAGAGGUAUGCAGGGGAGAACGGAAUUCCUGGUGUAGCGGUGAAAUGCGCAGAUAUCAGGAGGAACACCGGUGGCGAAGGCGGUUCUCUGGGCAUGAUCUGACGCUGAGGAGCGAAAGUGUGGGGAGCGAACAGG